UCGGGAAAGGCUGGAGGGGUCGGGAAAGGCUGGAGGGGUCGGGAAAAGCUGGAGGGGUCGGGAAAGGCUGGAGGGGUCGGGAAAGCCUGGAGGGGUCGGGAAAGGCUGGAGGGGUCGGGAAAGGGGAGGCCGUGGUCGGUGAUGCCUUCAUCAUGGAAUAUCCACGUGGAGCUACAGGAUCUUAAAAUGGUAGGAUUGUGCCGAGAGAUUAGUCACUUUCACUUUUGUUCUGUUAAACUAUUUAUUCAGUGGCUUGGGAUUUAGUCAAACAUCAAAUAUUUAAGAGAGAAUAGAAUAGGAUUCCAAUAUGUGCUUCUGCGUGUGACUGGCCCAUGGAUUUUGUUGUAUUUAAACGAUUCUGUGAAAGUAUUCAGAAGAGAGCAGGUGGCGGGAGGGAUUUCAGCAGGGAUGAUAUUAAACAUAUCUAUCAGCUGCCAUGCCACUGCAUCGGCCACUCAGAAUGAAUCCAGCUCCCACUGUGGUGGACUCAGGUUGUAAGGAACCAGCGGGGCUCACUUGGUGGCACCAGCUGAGGGAUGAAGGAUGGCAUUGGGGGCUGAGAAGUGCUGGAUGGAGCACCUGGCUGCCAGGACUUAACACAGGCGACAGUGUAGACGUCCAGCGAGACAGCGGAGUGAAGCAUCCAUGGUCUGGCAUGAUCCUGUCUUUCAGCAGCCACAACUGAGGCUUUUCUUUGGAGACAGGGUCUGGCCCUGUCACCCAGGCUGCAGUGCGGUGGCAUGAUCACAGCUCAUUGCAGCCUUGACCUCCUGGGCUCAAGUGAUCCUCCUGCCUCAACCUCAUGAGCAGCUGGGAUCGCAGGCACACACCACCAGGCUUGGCUAAUUUUUUUUUCUUUUUUUUUUUUAGGGAUGAGGUCUCCCUAUGUUGCCCAGGCUGAUCUUGAACUUCUGGGCUCAAGCAAUCCUCCUGCCUCAGCCUCCCAAAGUGUGGGAUUACAGGCAUAAACCACCACGCUUGGCCCUCAAAUGAGUUUUAUAGGAGUCUGUAUUUUGUGCAUCUCCUGGAGAAAUAAUCGAGGGUCAUACAUGGACUUUUAAAGUUGGUUCCUCUCAAACAAUGGCAGCACUUCAAGGAGGGCCCAUUUCUGGGGUUGGUUUUAUUUAGGGCAACAAAUAAUAAAUUUAAUACAAAAAAGAAUUCUCAGGCACGUGCAGAGCAGGUGCUUCUGACGUGAGAAUCAUCUUGGGGUGAGGCAGAUGCAUUGGUGAUUUCACGUUGCCCAAGAGCUGCCAGUGAAAAUACGAAUACGUGGGAGGUUCUUCUGAGGAAGCUCAGUAAGGCAGCGAAGGAGCAGGCAAGGUCCUCAGCAGCAGACGUCUCUCUCCAGGCUGCUUUCCAGUAGCUUCCGAAGAAACCUCUCCUGCACAGGAAAUGGCAGAGAGGGAUGUACUGCAGUUUGCUGCCCUUGGUGGCCACAUGGAGGGUCUCCUGAGGAGAUGGUGGCCACGCAUUAACAGCCGGCUCCUAGGAGCCAGAAUAAAGCCCGCUUCGCUCUCGUACGGGGCCUGCUGGGCAGGGAGCAGCUCAGAGCUGAAUGCCGCAAGGUGUUGUCCUGGGAGCCAGGGUGGCUGCUGUCACGGCCACUGCUGCUGGCCACAGCCACCCUUCACUGUGCAGGAGCUGGGCGAGGGGAGGAAGCCCCAGGACUGGAGGAUCUGCCACAGCUUUUAGGGCAGGCCUCUGCCUGGUGCUCACAUCCCAGCUGGACACGGGGCGCCCAGCAUGGAUUUCUUUCAUAGAAUGAAUGACAGGACAUGUCAUGCGUUGAACUGUGUCCCCUAGAAGGAUGUGUUGACAGCCUCAUCCCGGAGCCUGUGACUCUGACCUUGGUCUUUGCAGUGGCCCCAAGUUCAGAUGAGGUCGUACAGAGGGAAGGUGGUCCUAAUACCAGGACGAUGUCUUUC
Molecule: long non-coding RNA, 1928 nt
Filed under: Homo sapiens (human)
Lineage: Eukaryota; Metazoa; Chordata; Mammalia; Primates; Hominidae
Description: HSALNT0131994
Source: RNAcentral